GCCGGAUUAGCUCAGCCCGGUAGAGCGCCCGCCUUGUAAGCGGAUGGUCGGGAGUUCGAAUCUCUCAUCCGGCACCA
RNAcentral lists this transfer RNA (77 nucleotides) under Gammaproteobacteria bacterium. RNAcentral describes it as "tRNA-Thr". It matches the Rfam family "tRNA". Rfam says of the family: Transfer RNA (tRNA) molecules are approximately 80 nucleotides in length. Lineage: Bacteria; Pseudomonadati; Pseudomonadota; Gammaproteobacteria. The record is from RNAcentral. RNAcentral also lists the same sequence under 1 other name.